RNAcentral lists this ribosomal RNA (418 nucleotides) under Bacillus sp. 7788. RNAcentral describes it as "bacterial LSU rRNA". It matches the Rfam family "Bacterial large subunit ribosomal RNA", at positions 56 to 466 of the family's 2925-position model. Lineage: Bacteria; Bacillati; Bacillota; Bacilli; Caryophanales; Bacillaceae. The record is from RNAcentral.
ACGGGACGAACACCGAUAUGCUUCGGGGAGCUGUAAGCAAGCUUUGAUCCGGAGAUCUCCGAAUGGGGAAACCCACUGCUCGUAAUGGAGUAGUAUCCAUACUUGAAUACAUAGAGUAUGAGAAGGCAUACCCGGGGAACUGAAACAUCUAAGUACCCGGAGGAAGAGAAAGCAAAUGCGAUUCCCUGAGUAGCGGCGAGCGAAACGGGAACAGCCCAAACCAAGAGGCUUGCCUCUUGGGGUUGUAGGACACUCUAUACGGAGUUACAAAGGAAUGAUAUAAGCGAAGAGGUCUGGAAAGGCCCGCCAAAGAAGGUAACAGCCCUGUAACUGAAAUGUUGUUCUCUCCAGAGUGGAUCCUGAGUACGGCGGAACACGUGAAAUUCCGUCGGAAUCCGGGAGGACCAUCUCCCAAGGC